Molecule: long non-coding RNA, 1129 nt
Organism: Lagopus leucura (white-tailed ptarmigan)
Lineage: Eukaryota; Metazoa; Chordata; Aves; Galliformes; Phasianidae
Exons: 4
Source: RefSeq, a predicted model, not a curated record
CUGGGUCAAGGCUGUAGCUUGGAAGUGCCCUUAGGCUGAAACCUGGGGUCUCCUGGCAACCACAGCCCCUCACUGGCUGUCUGAGGAUCCUAGCAUGAGGCUGAGGGGGCACUGAACAGAGGAGGCCUGAUGGGAGGUGUUGUGUGCCCAGGUUCACCUCGGUGGUCUGCAGGAGGAGAACAUCUUCAACAGAAUGGGCUCUUCUUCAUGUACUAUUGUGGAUGUAUUUUAUCAAGUACAAUUCCUUGGCAAAAGGAAGAUUGGUUUGGAUUUCACGUGCAGUAGCUGGCAAGAUAUGUGCUGUGCCUCAGCCUGUGGAAGAGUGGACCCAAAUGAGGUCCAACACCACAAAGGUGUUCAGCUCUCACAUCAGCAUUGACCCAGCCUGGAAAAUAGGAUGGCUUUCUGUACUGAUGGGAUCCAGCAGACUGUUUUACUUAAUGCCAAUGCAAAUCUCUAAAACUUGCACUGCUUCAAGAGCGCUUGUCAAAACACAGAGUGAAAUCAAGGAAGUCUUAAAACCAGAGAAAUGUGUUUAUUAUACAGGUUUCUACCGGGUCACUAAUCUACAUUGGUUGCACCAGAGAAAAUUUGCUAGUAUAAACAAAUCCCGAGUGACAGACCAGGCUACAUCCCAAGCUCUGCUCUAAAUUGCUGUUCACUUUUUUCCUAAGUCUUUGUCUUUCUCUCAUUUUCUUUCUCUCUCAUUUCUUUUUUCUUUCUUCAUGUAGAGAGGAGAAAUCAUUGCUAAUGAAUUGCAAGCAUGGGGUAUGGGAAGAUCAGUUAAUAUGGCCCAAAUAUUCAGUAAUACAAAUACAUUAAAGUGAUCAAACAAUGAAUGAAAAUUGACCCAGAGAGCAGGUUCCACUGAGAAAACAUGUGAGAAUCUAAAUUAAUGUGACUUGAUGAAACUUGAAAUGUCAUAACACAGCAGGGCACACAACACAUCAGAGGAAAUGUGAAAAUUAUACUUUUUCCUGAAAUCAUAGUUUUCAAAAAUAAGUGGCUUUUAAAUUCUUCUAAAAAUAUAAUAAAGGAAUUAGUGUCAAGAAAAAGGUUAUUGUUGUUUAUCAGACUGCAGGCUCAGUCCAUGGUGGCUUUUCACAAAUAACCUCUUUUCUUUCUCUGA